Molecule: ribosomal RNA, 167 nt
Filed under: uncultured bacterium
Lineage: Bacteria
Description: partial 16S ribosomal RNA
Rfam family: Bacterial small subunit ribosomal RNA
Source: RNAcentral
UAGGGGAAAGUCUUUCCACAAUGGGCGAAAGCCUGAUGGAGCAACGCCGCGUGUGUGAUGAAGGGUUCCGGCUCGUAAACACUGUUGUAAGAGAAGAAUGACAUUGAGAGUAACUGUUCAAUGUGUGACGGUAUCUUACCAGAAAGGAACGGCUAAAUACGUGCCAG